RNAcentral lists this long non-coding RNA (705 nucleotides) under Equus asinus (donkey). RNAcentral's name for it is "lncRNA (ENSEASG00005033883.1)". Lineage: Eukaryota; Metazoa; Chordata; Mammalia; Perissodactyla; Equidae. The record is from RNAcentral.
UGGAUGGAGGGCAGUGAGAGGAUGUGUGUGAACUUUCUGUCAUGAAGGGCAAUUUGCAGGAACUAAUCAUCUUACAAUAGUUGGUCAUAAGAAAGAAAUCCAUCAGCCAAGCAUCCUGAAUAGUGACAGGUUGACAGAUAUCUACCCACUGUGAUGGACAGAAUUGUGUCCCCCGAAAAAUCCAUAUGUUGAAGUCCUAAACUCAGUAUCUCAGAACGCUGCAGUGAGAAGAAUGCCUCCAGGACAAGUGGCUGUCAGGAGUGGGGAAAUCUAGGAAUAUUCUGGACAGGAUGCUGCUCAUGCCCGCCAGAGAGAACUUCCCAACACCUGUCUUUCCAGGGAGUACUGGAACACUAAAGUUACCUGCAUCAGGUAACUUGCCUGCCGCAGGGCUGCGGAGUUUCCUAAGAGGGUCUGGGAAGGACAAGAUAAAAGAGACUUCCAAGCAUGGGAAAGAGUAGGCCAUUGCUCCAGUGGCAGUGAGGCUAAGGACAGAAGACAGAGAGAACCAGUAGAGGACCAUCUUCACAGGGACAUGACGGUGGACUCCAGGGAUAGUGAUGUAUGGUAUCUUGUUUUAGAUUUCCUUUUCUCUGUAGUAGUUUGUUGAACAUCAUUACCUCAUGUUGUUGUGUUAGUAAAUAUUGAUGAAUGAAGAGAAGGUUCUGUAGCCAUGCUUUGGGGGAAAGUGGAAUAAAAAGGCUG